RNAcentral lists this ribosomal RNA (301 nucleotides) under uncultured bacterium. RNAcentral's name for it is "partial 16S ribosomal RNA". It matches the Rfam family "Bacterial small subunit ribosomal RNA", at positions 509 to 807 of the family's 1533-position model. The record is from RNAcentral.
CAGUAGCCGCGGUAACACGAAGGGUGCAAGCGUUAAUCGGAAUUACUGGGCGUAAAGCGUGCGUAGGCGGAUUGUUAAGUCUGUUGUGAAAUCCCCGGGCUCAACCUGGGAAUGGCAAUGGAUACUGGCAAGCUAGAGUGUGUCAGAGGAUGGUGGAAUUCCCGGUGUAGCGGUGAAAUGCGUAGGGAUCGGGAGGAACAUCAGUGGCGAAGGCGGCCAUCUGGGACAACACUGACGCUGAGGCACGAAAGCGUGGGGAGCAAACAGGAUUAGAGACCCCUGUAGUCCCUGUCUCUUAUAC